AAAAUUAUGAAAAGACUUGUAUGGACCCAUUUUCCAGGUCCACCUUUAAUGUGUCUUGCAGUGUGGACUGGAAAGUCCACCCAUGAAACUAAAUUAAUUGUCCUGACUGUAAUGGUCAGUUAUACGUAUAUAUUGAUUCUAUGGUAAACAGACUGUCUGGAAGUAUCUUUUGAGAAAAAGAGAGUGUUGAAAUAACGGAUUGUUCUGCAUCCGUAUGGAUAACAGCUAUGGACCAGAUGUGAGUAACACCAAUUAAGGGCCAGUUCUGUAUGAGGGAUCUCCUGUUCAUCUGUCUCUCUCAGCUUUGUCACUAUAUGACUGUUUGUCUUUCUAUGGCCUGUCUCCUUCCUUCCUGAAUGCAUCCCCACCAGCCCGGUGCUGUGAGCUGGGCCCUCCAUGGAGAAGAAACCUGAGUUUGCUGAUCCUAGGGUAAAUGCUGGCAUGGAGGCCAAGGGGGCAUUAUCUAUCAAGGAGACAGAGAGCCCUCUUGGGGACGAUGCCAUGCACACUCCACAUCACCUUGUUUGGCCCCAGAGAAUGGCUGGUUAGCCAAUGACGGGUAAGAUUCCUCAAGGGAGGGACAACCUAAGACAGGCACAGUCGCAGAGGGGCCAUCAGGAGAAAAUUUGGGGGCCAACAGAGGUGAGGCAAAGAACCUCACCCCCCCACUGGUGCAAAGGCCUAAUUCUGCUGCCCUUCUGAGAGAGGUCUCCUGCCCCAUGGUUGCUUUGCUCCCCACAUCCAGUUCAGAUCAGAACCCUAGUGACAGAGACCUAGUCAACAGUGACUGCCUGCUCACCACAGCAGGAGACAAAUGCAGCUACAGUAAUGGGCCAUGUCUGGAUGCUUUUCUCGUUCUUGGUACUCAUUUUUUUUCUAUGCCUUUCCUUUUCCUUUCUUUUCUCAUCAGGGUUCUCCUUUGACAAUAAAUUUAAUAGAAGAGGAGAAAAUGUUAGAAUAGCCUUCAGUUGCAACUAACAGCUACGAG
RNAcentral lists this long non-coding RNA (988 nucleotides) under Marmota monax (woodchuck). The record is from RNAcentral. Lineage: Eukaryota; Metazoa; Chordata; Mammalia; Rodentia; Sciuridae.